RNAcentral lists this ribosomal RNA (784 nucleotides) under uncultured Neisseria sp. RNAcentral's name for it is "bacterial SSU rRNA". It matches the Rfam family "Bacterial small subunit ribosomal RNA", at positions 727 to 1512 of the family's 1533-position model. Lineage: Bacteria; Pseudomonadati; Pseudomonadota; Betaproteobacteria; Neisseriales; Neisseriaceae. The record is from RNAcentral.
UCCUGGGAUAACACUGACGUUCAUGCUCGAAAGCGUGGGUAGCAAACAGGAUUAGAUACCCUGGUAGUCCACGCCCUAAACGAUGUCAAUUAGCUGUUGGGCAACUUGAUUGUUCAGUAGCGUAGCUAACGCGUGAAAUUGACCGCCUGGGGAGUACGGUCGCAAGAUUAAAACUCAAAGGAAUUGACGGGGACCCGCACAAGCGGUGGAUGAUGUGGAUUAAUUCGAUGCAACGCGAAGAACCUUACCUGGUCUUGACAUGUACGGAAUCCUCCAGAGACGGAGGAGUGCCUUCGGGAACCGUAACACAGGUGCUGCAUGGCUGUCGUCAGCUCGUGUCGUGAGAUGUUGGGUUAAGUCCCGCAACGAGCGCAACCCUUGUCAUUAGUUGCCAUCAUUUAGUUGGGCACUCUAAUGAGACUGCCGGUGACAAGCCGGAGGAAGGUGGGGAUGACGUCAAGUCCUCAUGGCCCUUAUGACCAGGGCUUCACACGUCAUACAAUGGUCGGUACAGAGGGUAGCCAAGCCGCGAGGUGGAGCCAAUCUCACAAAACCGAUCGUAGUCCGGAUUGCACUCUGCAACUCGAGUGCAUGAAGUCGGAAUCGCUAGUAAUCGCAGGUCAGCAUACUGCGGUGAAUACGUUCCCGGGUCUUGUACACACCGCCCGUCACACCAUGGGAGUGGGGGAUACCAGAAGUAGGUAGGAUAACCGCAAGGGGUCCGCUUACCACGGUAUGCUUCAUGACUGGGGUGAAGUCGUAACAAGGUAGCCGUAGGGGAACC